GCCAGCAGCCAUAUCACUCUGCAACUCACAACUGGUAACCCACUGAAGCUAAGCAGGUGUGAGCCUGGUCAGUACCUGGAUGGGAGACCUCGUGGGAAAAACUAAGGUUGCUGCUGGAA
Ribosomal RNA from Lepisosteus oculatus (spotted gar), 119 nucleotides. The record is from Ensembl. NCBI's taxonomy places the organism in Eukaryota, Metazoa, Chordata, Actinopteri, Semionotiformes, Lepisosteidae.